CAAAUGCAAGGAUUAUUAAUUUUAUUAUUAUUGCCAAUAGGAACAGUUCAGCGCUGGUCCCUUUGCUCACAGGAAUUAAGUGAAUUGUGUCUAAACCCAUGUCAUAUGGAAGACCCUUACAACCGGUGGGGUGAGAAAGAAUUUUGUCCAUUAAUUCAAAUGCAGAUCUCAGGAUGUGAAAGGCUGUGCCACUCGGGCAUUCUUUCUGGUUCUUUUUUUAAAAAAUCUACAGCUUAAUAGAGUGCUUCACUGUCUACAAUCUGUGGUGUCAGGUCUGUGGAUCAACCAGCUAGGAUUUGUUUGGAUUCCAUUUAUUUUCUUUAACGUUGGAGGUAAUGGGUGGUGGGGGAGGGUUUACAAAUGCUGGACGCAAAGCCACUUUAAGGAGCUUUGCGUCACUAAUUCUUCCCUUUUUUUUAGGGUUCACCAGGCUGUUAUUCCUUUGCUUCUAUUUCCAAUGCAACGUUUUGGGGUUUAUACAAAUUUGUAUCUUUUUUUUCCCUGUGCAAACUCACUGCGCUGGCAAUGGUAAACAUGCGAACCGGACAAGAGUAGAGACCAAAGGCCGCACAUCAAUGAGAGCAACAUCAAUUAAAUUAACCCCAUACGAUUUUGAUCAAAUGCAAAAGUUACCUCUUUUUUUUCCCCUUAAGCCACCAAAGCAGAACUAGACAGGUGAACUAUUACUCUGAUGUUUGCAGAAAUGGUCACAAGUUCACAAGAGGAUUAUCAACUACAUGUUUCAUUGGGUGUAAGUAGAGACAGCGGGCCAGACCACACAGUCAUUAGAAAGAGCCAACAAGAAAAUUAUUGCACAGAUAUUCCAAGUGAGGGGUGCCGAUGACACCCUACUUCUGUGAAGCUGCUUUGCAAUCUGGAUGCCUCCUCCUGCUCAUGUCGACAGGGGCGGGCAUGGCAAUUUAAGAGAACGUAAAUCCAUCAUAUCUACAAAACAUGUUUUCCCAGAAGGGGAUCGACGUGAAGAGGAUUUCGGUGGCUGCGUUGCUGAGCAGUGAAGGAUGUAACUGUCCGUUUCUGAACCCUCCAGAGAGGGUCACAUUGGCCUGAGUGGAUGGUUGCCAGUCCUAUUGCACCUCACUUGAUAGGUAAUUCUUAGAUAGUUUGGCUGAGAUCGGUUGAUGCUGCAGGUUCACUCUCUUCAUUAAUCUUCUCAGCACACUGGCAAACAACCACAGCUCCAGCGUGCUGCUGACUGCAUGUCUAUCCUUUGGGUGUGUUUAUUUUGGGGUGGGGCAGGUCCUGAAGAUAUUCUGCAGGAACCUUCGAACGACUGAUUCAUCCUAAAGCUGAGCAGUAGUCCUCAGAGAUAGCCACAAAAGGCCAAAUAGGGUGCUUUCAAGGGUGCUUUCUCUAGUGUUUGGUACAAUUUACAUCACUGCUAUGUAUUUGUUGAAACACUGUUGGUUGCUGGUUUCUGAAGCCAAGUGAAUAAAGCCUGUCUGAUUA
Callorhinchus milii (elephant shark) is the source of this 1467-nucleotide long non-coding RNA. RefSeq lists it as uncharacterized. The record is from RefSeq and is a predicted model, not a curated record. Lineage: Eukaryota; Metazoa; Chordata; Chondrichthyes; Chimaeriformes; Callorhinchidae. The transcript is spliced from 2 exons.